Molecule: unclassified non-coding RNA, 166 nt
Filed under: uncultured Oidiodendron
Lineage: Eukaryota; Fungi; Ascomycota; Leotiomycetes; Myxotrichaceae
Description: sequence contains ITS1
Source: RNAcentral
CAGAGUUCUCGCCCUCGCGGGUAGAUCUCCCACCCACUGUUAUUGCUACUGUGUUGCUUUGGCGGGCUGCUAGGCCCAGCCUGGCCGCCGGCUCCGGCUGGCGCGCGCCCGCCAGAGGACCCCAAACUCUGAAUGUUAGUGUCGUCUGAGUACUAUACAAUAGUUA